Small nucleolar RNA from Rattus norvegicus (Norway rat), 132 nucleotides. Ensembl annotates it as small nucleolar RNA SNORA17. The record is from Ensembl. NCBI's taxonomy places the organism in Eukaryota, Metazoa, Chordata, Mammalia, Rodentia, Muridae.
ACAGCCCUGGAAGUAUCAUGGGAGGUGGCUACUGUGUCACAUGUGCAUCUGUAGGUGGCCGAGCAGAGAGAGGCUAUGUCUGUGCUCCAUGUUCUAACCUGUGAACAUCGGAGUGAUUAGUAGACUACCAUU